ACAACAAGGUCAUUCCCAAGAGCGUAGAGACGUGCUUGUUGAUAAAGAUUCGACAAAGCGGUAACCAGGAGGUUGAGGCUGCUUUGAAAGUUAACCAGAAGGAUAUUCUACAUGUGAAGGGAAGACACCAUAACAGGUCUAUAGAAGGAGAUUUCCGUCAUGACGUGAACUUGGAUUUGAACCAUUCAACUCAGCUGAGGAUCCCUCAGGCACUGGGCCUUCAUGGUGAGAUCUUCUUCAGGCAGCAUCCGGCAGGAGAGUUUGACUGUGGUGUAACCCUGCAAGCUGCUGUCAACCAGA
Non-coding RNA from Phascolarctos cinereus (koala), 300 nucleotides. Lineage: Eukaryota; Metazoa; Chordata; Mammalia; Diprotodontia; Phascolarctidae. The record is from RefSeq and is a predicted model, not a curated record.